This 271-nucleotide long non-coding RNA is filed under the name Mytilus galloprovincialis (Mediterranean mussel). Lineage: Eukaryota; Metazoa; Mollusca; Bivalvia; Mytilida; Mytilidae. The record is from RNAcentral.
GCUUCUAAUUCUUCAGCAUGAUCGAUAUAACAAAUACUAAUGAUAUCUAGCAGACUUAUAAAUGUGUUUACUGUUGCCUACAAUUAGCACCUAAAUGUUGUAAGGAAUUGUACAGAAUUUACUUCUGUGUUGUUGUUAUUCAUGGUGACUGUGGACGGUUUAAAUCAUAUCCUCCUUUAAUAUGAAGAGCACUCAGAUUCAUGAUACAUCCAUCACAUUUCGAAAUGAAAUAUUCCAGAUACUAGUAAAAGGAAAAUGCAAUUGUGAAUUG